This 482-nucleotide ribosomal RNA is filed under the name uncultured bacterium. RNAcentral's name for it is "bacterial SSU rRNA". It matches the Rfam family "Bacterial small subunit ribosomal RNA", at positions 28 to 491 of the family's 1533-position model. The record is from RNAcentral.
GACGAACGCUGGCGGCGUGCCUAAUACAUGCAAGUCGAACGCACUCUCGUUUAGAUUGAAGGAGCUUGCUCCUGAUUGAUAAACAUUUGAGUGAGUGGCGGACGGGUGAGUAACACGUGGGUAACCUGCCCUAAAGUGGGGGAUAACAUUUGGAAACAGAUGCUAAUACCGCAUAAAACCUAAACACCGCAUGGUGUAGGGUUGAAAGAUGGUUUCGGCUAUCACUUUAGGAUGGACCCGCGGUGCAUUAGUUAGUUGGUGAGGUAAAGGCUCACCAAGACCGUGAUGCAUAGCCGACCUGAGAGGGUAAUCGGCCACACUGGGACUGAGACACGGCCCAGACUCCUACGGGAGGCAGCAGUAGGGAAUCUUCCACAAUGGACGAAAGUCUGAUGGAGCAACGCCGCGUGAGUGAAGAAGGUUUCGGAUCGUAAACUCUGUUGUUGGAGAAGAAUGUAUCUGAUAGUAACUGAUCAGGUAGU